RNAcentral lists this ribosomal RNA (743 nucleotides) under uncultured bacterium. RNAcentral describes it as "bacterial SSU rRNA". It matches the Rfam family "Bacterial small subunit ribosomal RNA", at positions 94 to 823 of the family's 1533-position model. The record is from RNAcentral.
AGCGGCGGAUGGGUGAGUAACACGUGGGGAACCUGCCCCUAAGUCUGGGAUACCAUUUGGAAACAAGUGCUAAUACCGGAUAAUAAAGCAGAUCGCAGGAUCAGCUUUUGAAAGGCGGCGUAAGCUGUCGCUAAGGGAUGGCCCCGCGGUGCAUUAGCUAGUUGGUAAGGUAACGGCUUACCAAGGCGACGAUGCAUAGCCGAGUUGAGAGACUGAUCGGCCACAUUGGGACUGAGACACGGCCCAAACUCCUACGGGAGGCAGCAGUAGGGAAUCUUCCACAAUGGACGCAAGUCUGAUGGAGCAACGCCGCGUGAGUGAAGAAGGUUUUCGGAUCGUAAAGCUCUGUUGUUGGUGAAGAAGGAUAGAGGUAGUAACUGGCCUUUAUUUGACGGUAAUCAACCAGAAAGUCACGGCUAACUACGUGCCAGCAGCCGCGGUAAUACGUAGGUGGCAAGCGUUGUCCGGAUUUAUUGGGCGUAAAGCGAGCGCAGGCGGAAAAAUAAGUCUAAUGUGAAAGCCCUCGGCUUAACCGAGGAACUGCAUCGGAAACUGUUUUUCUUGAGUGCAGAAGAGGAGAGUGGAACUCCAUGUGUAGCGGUGGAAUGCGUAGAUAUAUGGAAGAACACCAGUGGCGAAGGCGGCUCUCUGGUCUGCAACUGACGCUGAGGCUCGAAAGCAUGGGUAGCGAACAGGAUUAGAUACCCUGGUAGUCCAUGCCGUAAACGAUGAGUGCUAAGUGU